CGCGUCCUGGCCGGGCCCGGGGGUGCGGCGGAUGCGGUCGCGCUCAAGGGCUCCGACGGGCCCUGCGGCUGGUACGGGUCCGGCCGCCGUGCCC
Molecule: transfer RNA, 94 nt
Filed under: Streptomyces bluensis
Lineage: Bacteria; Bacillati; Actinomycetota; Actinomycetes; Kitasatosporales; Streptomycetaceae
Description: tRNA-His
Source: RNAcentral